ACAACAGCUACUACCGAUUGAAUGAUUUAGUGAGGUCUUCGGACUGGCAGUCUCUGCGGCUCUCGGAUCGCGGUGGCCCGCCGGGAAGAUGACCGAACUUGACCAUUUAGAGGAAGUAAAAGUCGUAACAAGGUUUUCGUAGGUGAACCUGCGGAAGG
This 158-nucleotide non-coding RNA is filed under the name Strigamia maritima. RNAcentral describes it as "eukaryotic small subunit ribosomal RNA". It matches the Rfam family "Eukaryotic small subunit ribosomal RNA", at positions 1676 to 1824 of the family's 1831-position model. Lineage: Eukaryota; Metazoa; Arthropoda; Chilopoda; Geophilomorpha; Linotaeniidae. The record is from Rfam by way of RNAcentral.